CGCGUAGGCGGUCUCUUAAGUCAGAUGUGAAAGCCCGGGGCUUAACCCCGGAAGUGCAUUUGAAACGGAGGGACUUGAGUAUGGGAGAGGGAAGUGGAAUUCCUGGUGUAGCGGUGAAAUGCGUAGAUAUCAGGAGGAACACCGGUGGCGAUGGCGACUUCCUGGACCAAUACUGACGCUGAGGCGCGAAGGCGUGGGGAGCAAACA
RNAcentral lists this ribosomal RNA (207 nucleotides) under uncultured bacterium. RNAcentral describes it as "partial 16S ribosomal RNA". It matches the Rfam family "Bacterial small subunit ribosomal RNA", at positions 568 to 774 of the family's 1533-position model. The record is from RNAcentral.